Mus musculus (house mouse) is the source of this 545-nucleotide long non-coding RNA. RefSeq annotates it as predicted gene, 31234. NCBI's taxonomy places the organism in Eukaryota, Metazoa, Chordata, Mammalia, Rodentia, Muridae. The transcript is spliced from 2 exons. The record is from RefSeq and is a predicted model, not a curated record.
UUCAAGGAUGAAAUUAGGAAGCUCUAGGCCAGGAUGCUUGGUGCGACAUCGCUACUAACAGCCACAGCCAGCAAGUGGGCAGAUGGUGAAUGUCACUCUGCUCAUUCAAAGGGGUUGGUUAAAAGGGAUCCAGCAAACUCUAGAAGAGCAAGCGUCUCUUCUACUUGUCCAGCCUCAUUAGACUCUAAAGCAAAAAUAACUUCCUGGGGGAAAGACACUUUGGUGUCUGGGGACGGAAAGCAUGAAUCAUCGGUGUAUUACUGGGUGCCUGAGCAUCCAAAUAACACGCCCGGUGCUGGUACAGAGCAAAGACUAUCUCCUCUCGGCAUUGGAAAGGCCACUGUGGAAAGGCCAACGACAGCUCAGGAGUACACGGUGAUGAUCUUGCUGGCCCAUAACAAGAGAUGAACUAUAGUCAAAAAGGAGGAGCAUGCAGAAACACCUCCAGUGCACGAUAUAUGCAUUCCAUAUCCAGAUGUGUAACGUAGGAAUGCGGGGAUUCGGGGCAGAGUGAAGAUUGAGAAAAUACAAAGAUCUAGCACUCA